RNAcentral lists this ribosomal RNA (80 nucleotides) under Acinetobacter baumannii. Lineage: Bacteria; Pseudomonadati; Pseudomonadota; Gammaproteobacteria; Moraxellales; Moraxellaceae. The record is from RNAcentral. RNAcentral also lists the same sequence under 2 other names.
CCUGGCGGCGAUAGCGCGGUGGUCCCACCUGACCCCAUGCCGAACUCAGAAGUGAAACGCCGUAGCGCCGAUGGUAGUGU